AUCCUAAUUGUGUUUUCCUCAUCUCUCAGAACUUCCUGAAAAGCAAGAGCAGCUACAUGCCAUCUACAAAGUGUUGGAACAGCUCCCCACCGCAUGCUUCAACACCUUGGAAAGACUUUUCUUCCAUCUAGUCAAAGUGUCUAAAGACGAGUCUCACAACCGCAUGUCUCCCAACUCCCUGGCCAUCGUGUUUGCCCCCUGCAUCCUCCGCUGCCCAGACAGCGCCGACCCACUCAUGAGCAUGAAGGACGUGGCCAAGACCACCACUUGUGUGGAGAUGUUGAUCAACGAGCAAAUCAGACGCUACAAUGAGAAGUUGGAGGAGAUCGAACAGCUGGAGCACGCUGAGGCGCUGGCCGUCAACCAGCUCAAACUCAAGAGAAAGAACACGG
This is a non-coding RNA of Oncorhynchus mykiss (rainbow trout), 392 nucleotides long. The record is from RefSeq and is a predicted model, not a curated record. NCBI's taxonomy places the organism in Eukaryota, Metazoa, Chordata, Actinopteri, Salmoniformes, Salmonidae.